GUAGUCCCAGCUGCUCAGGAGGCUGAGGCAGGAGGAUUGCUUGAGCCCAGGAGUUUGAGGUUGCUGUGAGCUAGGCUGACGCCAUGGCACUCACUCUAGCCUGGGCAACAAAGUGAGACUCUGUCUCAAAAAAUAAAUAAAUAAAUAAAAUAAGCUGCGGUGUGGAAUGCACUGGUGUCCCUGCUAAGUUCAGCAUCCACGUGGUGACCUCGUGGGAGCAGGGACCACCAGGUUGCCUAAGGUGGGGGAAGGGGCCCAGGUUGGAAGUGGAGCAGGAAACUUUCGUGCUGAGCAGUGGUGGGAUCAGGUGUGUGAGCAGCGACUGCACUCCGGCCUGGGCAACACAGUAAGGCCCCUUCUCU
This 362-nucleotide signal recognition particle RNA is filed under the name Microcebus murinus (gray mouse lemur). RNAcentral's name for it is "Metazoan signal recognition particle RNA (ENSMICG00000031213.2)". It matches the Rfam family "Metazoan signal recognition particle RNA". From Rfam's summary of the family: The signal recognition particle (SRP) is a universally conserved ribonucleoprotein. Lineage: Eukaryota; Metazoa; Chordata; Mammalia; Primates; Cheirogaleidae. The record is from RNAcentral.